RNAcentral lists this ribosomal RNA (413 nucleotides) under Salmonella enterica subsp. enterica serovar Okatie. RNAcentral's name for it is "partial 23S ribosomal RNA". It matches the Rfam family "Bacterial large subunit ribosomal RNA", at positions 1254 to 1667 of the family's 2925-position model. Lineage: Bacteria; Pseudomonadati; Pseudomonadota; Gammaproteobacteria; Enterobacterales; Enterobacteriaceae. The record is from RNAcentral.
AGGUGGCCUGUGAGGGUUGCUGGAGGUAUCAGAAGUGCGAAUGCUGACAUAAGUAACGAUAAAGCGGGUGAAAAGCCCGCUCGCCGGAAGACCAAGGGUUCCUGUCCAACGUUAAUCGGGGCAGGGUGAGUCGACCCCUAAGGCGAGGCCGAAAGGCGUAGUCGAUGGGAAACGGGUUAAUAUUCCCGUACUUGGUGUUACUGCGAAGGGGGGACGGAGAAGGCUAUGUUGGCCGGGCGACGGUUGUCCCGGUUUAAGCGUGUAGGUGUGUGUUCCAGGUAAAUCCGGUUCACUUUAACACUGAGGCGUGACGACGAGGCACUACGGUGCUGAAGCAACAAAUGCCCUGCUUCCAGGAAAAGCCUCUAAGCAUCAGGUAACAUCAAAUCGUACCCCAAACCGACACAGGUGGU